AAAAGAGGGAACAGCUUUGAGUUUUAUUGAGUUGUCUGCAUAUCCAUCUAUGACUAGACCUUUAAAAACCUAACAUUCUUCACUUUUGUAUAUUGAGAGUCAUAUAAAUAGAGUCUGUAACUGGAUACGCCUUAUUGGAUAUCCACCUCAUAUUUUAUGUUACUGAGUUUAUGUUAGUAUUUUAUGUUACUGAGUCAGGACACUGGCUCAGUGUACUAAUAUUCAACACAAAACCUGAAACUGAAAACACAGGUAUCUAGGGGAAGAUGGUUUGGUAACACAAACUUCUGAGAAUUAAGUAGGGUAUUUGGGGGGGAUUUUGUUUGUUCUUGCCUUUUGUGCACAAUAGGCAAUUGUGAUUCGUGUGCAUUUGCUUAUUCUGGUAGGAAAAAAACCCUCCCCCU
This 404-nucleotide long non-coding RNA is filed under the name Bos taurus (domestic cattle). RNAcentral describes it as "long non-coding RNA NONBTAT025665". The record is from RNAcentral. Lineage: Eukaryota; Metazoa; Chordata; Mammalia; Artiodactyla; Bovidae.